CGGGACGGGUGAGUAAUGUCUGGGAAACUGCCCGAUGGAGGGGGAUAACUACUGGAAACGGUAGCUAAUACCGCAUAACGUCGCAAGACCAAAGAGGGGGACCUUAGGGCCUCUUGCCAUCGGAUGUGCCCAGAUGGGAUUAGCUAGUAGGUGGGGUAAUGGCUCACCUAGGCGACGAUCCCUAGCUGGUCUGAGAGGAUGACCAGCCACACUGGAACUGAGACACGGUCCAG
This 233-nucleotide ribosomal RNA is filed under the name uncultured bacterium. RNAcentral's name for it is "partial 16S ribosomal RNA". It matches the Rfam family "Bacterial small subunit ribosomal RNA", at positions 100 to 334 of the family's 1533-position model. The record is from RNAcentral.